GUGCACUGCUUUGGUGGCUCACUUGUGAAUGUUCUGCAGCCUGCAGCAGUCGUCAGAAACGGUGACGGUUGCCGCGCUGUUGAUGCUUCAGCUUCAUCACAGUUUCAUCUGACUCCUUUGAGACCUUCAAGCUUCGCUUCACUGUCCGGACUCCGACGCAUGUGCGACACGUCAGUACAAUUUACUCACCUAUCAAGUCCCU
Molecule: long non-coding RNA, 202 nt
Organism: Ixodes scapularis (black-legged tick)
Lineage: Eukaryota; Metazoa; Arthropoda; Arachnida; Ixodida; Ixodidae
Exons: 3
Source: RefSeq, a predicted model, not a curated record